RNAcentral lists this ribosomal RNA (617 nucleotides) under Gloeophyllum sepiarium. RNAcentral describes it as "eukaryotic LSU rRNA". It matches the Rfam family "Eukaryotic large subunit ribosomal RNA", at positions 38 to 667 of the family's 3401-position model. Lineage: Eukaryota; Fungi; Basidiomycota; Agaricomycetes; Gloeophyllales; Gloeophyllaceae. The record is from RNAcentral.
GCAUAUCAAUAAGCGGAGGAAAAGAAACUAACAAGGAUUCCCCUAGUAACUGCGAGUGAAGCGGGAUGAGCUCAAAUUUAAAAUCUGGCGGUCUCUGGCCGUCCGAGUUGUAUUCUGGAGAAGUGCUUUCCGCGCUGGACCGUGUAUAAGUCUCUUGGAACAGAGCGUCAUAGAGGGUGAGAAUCCCGUCUUUGACACGGACUACCAGUGCUUUGUGAUGCGCUCUCAAAGAGUCGAGUUGUUUGGGAAUGCAGCUCAAAAUGGGUGGUAAAUUCCAUCUAAAGCUAAAUAUUGGCGAGAGACCGAUAGCGAACAAGUACCGUGAGGGAAAGAUGAAAAGCACUUUGGAAAGAGAGUUAAACAGUACGUGAAAUUGUUGAAAGGGAAACGCUUGAAGUCAGUCGCGUUGGCCGGGACUCAGCCUUGCCUUCCGCUUGGUGUAUUUUCCGGUCGACGGGCCAACAUCGAUUUCGAUUGCUGGACAAGGGCUAGCGGAAUGUGGCACCUUCGGGUGUGUUAUAGCCGCUGGUCGUAUACAGUAGUUGGGAUCGAGGACCGCAGCUUCGGCUUAGGAUGUUGGCAUAAUGGCUUUAAACGACCCGUCUUGAACACGGACC